Long non-coding RNA from Triticum dicoccoides, 1868 nucleotides. RefSeq lists it as uncharacterized. The record is from RefSeq and is a predicted model, not a curated record. The transcript is spliced from 4 exons. NCBI's taxonomy places the organism in Eukaryota, Viridiplantae, Streptophyta, Magnoliopsida, Poales, Poaceae.
CCGACCCAGCUCUCUUUUGCAGCAGCCGCUGCCGCUGGCUGGCUGCUCGUCCCCUUCUCCCCUGGUUGCUGCUGCUCAUCCCUUGGUUGCUGCUACUGCAGGUCUGCCCCUCCCAUCUCUUGCUGCUGCGGCUCCCCCCUUAGUUGCCGCUGGUCUGCUCCCUACUACUUAACUCACGUCGACUCAUCGCAUGUUGACUCGUCGACCAUGAGUCACGACUAGUCACGACUAGUCUAGAGUCGCCCCCCCUGAGCGACUCGCCGACUCAUCGACUCAAAAACCUUGGGUCUCAGCAGCCGCCCUCACCUCCCUCUCUCUCCAACCAGCCCCGCUCUCCUCUCGCAUCACACAGGCGGCGGCUCAACAUAUGCUGCCGGGUGUGGCAUAUGUGGCAUCUGUGUUGUGCUUCGGCCGGCUGGUUGUGUGUGAUGUGUGCGGCUGGAUGUGCGUCCGUGUUUAUGUGUGUGGAGGAAGUCGAUGGUUGCAGGCAGAGGAAGCUGCUGGUUGCUGGCAGAGGAGGAUUAUGAUAGUUCCCUUGCUCUUUGCCAGAAAAAUUGAUAUUUCUCUUGAUUUGUUCUAGUCUGGAUUAGUACAAAAGUGCACUGAUAUUUGCUUUGUGGUGCAGGAGUUUCAAGACAGCAGGUUUAGCAGGGAUCAAUUGCAACCUUCGUUUAUCUUCUGUUAUGUGAACCAAUUUGUGAUGGCUUCUAAAAGCACAUGGCUGGUACAGAGCAAUUUUUACAUCAGAGCCGUCGUUUCUGUCGACUUCGCCGCCGUCGACUUCGCCGCAAGACAAUCUGCCAUCGCCUCCGCCGACUUUGCCGUAAGAUCAUCAGCCGUCGCCUGAACGUACUUUGGCGCAGGAACCUGAAGGAAAGCGGCAACAAAAGCAAGAUCCAAAGGCGCAGUCGUGCAAGGUCGAACCAUCCAUAAAGAUCCUCUUCCUACAGCUAUGACAACUGUGGCAAGACCUUUGUUAAUGUGGCUGCCUUGAGGAAGCAUGCUCAUGUACAUGGCGAGAGAUGCAAUAUGUUUUUUCAGGAGCCUGGCUAUUUGAAGCUUGACGAUGCCGUGGUCGCCCCACCUAUCAAAUCCCCGCACACACGCAACAACUCAACUCUAUGGUUUGUACACCACCACCGCUUGAGCAGCCCGGCGAACGAUUUAGGUAAUGUAUCUGUAUAAUAUAAUCCUCCAUUACCAUGCACAAAGACUUCAAUUUAAUUUUAGAUCAGUUUAGUUCAGCGUGGUGAUGCUCAGCAUAAUAAGGUGUUGUGUUGUUAUAUUGAAAUAAAUGAUUCAGCAGAGGUGAAUGGUCUCUCUGACUGAUGUUGCCAGUUGCAUCACAUACUUGCUAGCUUCCCAAAUGCAGUAAGCAAUGAGUAAUUUCCAAAUGUAGCAGUGAAGACACUCAUUUUCAGAGCAGCUAUACUCACAUGUGCCCUGAACCAUUUAAUUGCUUUAAUUCCUGAACAAAUGUAGGUUGGUUCUCUUGCUUUUUACCAUGGUAACUUUGUAAACAUCAGAAGGCCUAAAUUUGCAGCACACUCACUCGCUCAACAAUGAGCACUGGAGUCUAAAGCUUUGCUAUUGGCUGAAGAACAUCAAGGUCUUCAUUACAUGAUUAUUAGUUUCUUAAAUAUUUGUAUAACGUCAGAGUACUUUUUAGUUACAGAUUUGGCAAUACCCAGGACAUUAUUCUCCAGUCCAACUAUUGGCUUUCAAGGUGGCAGUGUGAGACAUUGUCGCUAUCACAGGAUCAUGUGGCAACGUAUUUGGUUUUUUGUUGAAAUAUGAUGGAGAUGGCUCUUUUGUAGUUAGAUGUGACUGCCACUCUCAUACCAAAUACUUUGAUGAUGAUACCUACU